AUUGAACGCCGGCGGAAUGCUUUACACAUGCAAGUCGAACGGUAGAGGGGGCAACCCCUCGAGAGUGGCGAACGGGUGAGUAAUAUAUCGGAACGUGCCCAGUCGUGGGGGAUAACGUAGCGAAAGUUACGCUAAUACCGCAUACGAUCUAAGGAUGAAAGCGGGGGAUCGCAAGACCUCGCGCGAUUGGAGCGGCCGAUAUCAGAUUAGGUAGUUGGUGGGGUAAAGGCUCACCAAGCCAACGAUCUGUAGCUGGUCUGAGAGGACGACCAGCCACACUGGAACUGAGACACGGUCCAGACUCCUACGGGAGGCAGCAGUGGGGAAUUUUGGACAAUGGACGCAAGUCUGAUCCAGCCAUUCCGCGUGCAGGAUGAAGGCCCUCGGGUUGUAAACUGCUCUUGUACGGAACGAAAAGGUCUCUCUUAAUACGGGGGGCUCAUGACGGUACCGUAAGAAUAAGCACCGGCUAACUACGUGCCAGCAGCCGCGGUAA
RNAcentral lists this ribosomal RNA (496 nucleotides) under uncultured bacterium. Its description in RNAcentral is "partial 16S ribosomal RNA". It matches the Rfam family "Bacterial small subunit ribosomal RNA", at positions 30 to 523 of the family's 1533-position model. The record is from RNAcentral.